GAAAAAUAACGAUACGGGACUCAUCCGAGGCCCCGUAAUCGGAAUGAGUACACUCUAAACCCUUUAACGAGUAUCCAUUGGAGGGCAAGUCUGGUGCCAGCAGCCGCGGUAAUUCCAGCUCCAAUAGCGUAUAUUAAAGUUGUUGCGGUUAAAAAGCUCGUAGUUGGACUUGUGUCCCACUCUGUCGGUUCACCGUUCGUCGGUGUUAACUGGCAUGCCUGUGUGGACGUCCUGCCGGUGGAUGCGGUCGGCCGUGGGCCUCUGGUCUGCGUGUCGGCGGUCCGAUGCAAUCCUACCGCGGUGCUCUUCACCGAGUGUCGAGGUGGGCCGGCACGUUUACUUUGAACAAAUUAGAGUGCUCAAAGCAGGCAGUGGUUCGCCUGAAUAUUGUGUGCAUGGAAUAAUGGAAUAGGACCUCGGUUCUAUUUUGUUGGUUUUCGGAACCUGAGGUAAUGAUUAAUAGGGACAGACGGGGGCAUUCGUAUUGCGACGUUAGAGGUGAAAUUCUUGGAUCGUCGCAAGACGAACCUAAGCGAAAGCAUUUGCCAUGAGUGUUUUCAUUAAUCAAGAACGAAAGUUAGAGGUUCGAAGGCGAUCAGAUACCGCCCUAGUUCUAACCAUAAACGAUGCCAGCUAGCGAUCCGCCGAAGUUCCUCCGAUGACUCGGCGGGCAGCUUCCGGGAAACCAAAGCUUUUGGGUUCCGGGGGAAGUAUGGUUGCAAAGCUGAAACUUAAAGGAAUUGACGGAAGGGCACCACCAGGAGUGGAGCCUGCGGCUUAAUUUGACUCAACACGGGAAACCUCACCAGGCCCGGACACCGGAAGGAUUGACAGAUUGAUAGCUCUUUCUUGAUUCGGUGGGUGGUGGUGCAUGG
This 875-nucleotide ribosomal RNA is filed under the name Candovia sp. D AC-2020. RNAcentral's name for it is "SSU rRNA". It matches the Rfam family "Eukaryotic small subunit ribosomal RNA", at positions 472 to 1287 of the family's 1831-position model. The record is from RNAcentral. Lineage: Eukaryota; Metazoa; Arthropoda; Insecta; Phasmatodea; Lonchodidae.